UUAAGACACAUCCUUGGCCUCACCACGUACUUGGCAGAAGAAGAAUGAGGUACCCUCCUUACCUGAAACAACUGGGGACAGAAGACAUAGCUACAAGGCUCCAGACUGUUCCACAAAGGUGAAAUCUUUCAGAUGUAAAACCUGCCCAGUGAACUGGCCAAAGGAAUCUAUUACCAUAGGAUUUGCACAAGCCCUCUUCCCUGGGUGAAAGAGAAUGCGGACACAGAAGAACAUCAGGGGCUCUGGUAGAGGGAUGAUUGAGAAGAAGCAGCAAGAAGAUAACAGUCCACAAGCCAAGGAGUGGGCCCACAGAGGAAAUCAUCCCUGCUGGAGCCUUGAUGUUGGACUCCCAGCCUCCAGAACUUCUUCAGCUACCCAGCCUGUGGUGUUUGCUCUGGCACCGGAGCUGACUAAUUCAGCCAGGGAGCACCGAUGGUAGCCAGGGCAUCAGUAGGAGGACUUGGCAGGAUUAGAAAGAGCAGCUAUGUCCAAGCAGGAGGGAGUGACUUCAAUAUUUUAAUGACUUCUAUUCUGGGGCAUCCCGCUGAAUCAGCCCUGAGCAAGUGUGACAUAAAUCACAGGAAGGAAAGAUGGGCAGAACCUGUGCAGAAGAGACUUUGCAGAGUAACCAGAGACCUGUGUGGCAUUGUUAGAGGCAGGUGUAGGAGGUGUGAACAUUAGAUCUUCCAAAGAGUCCCCAAGGGCUCAUAUGACUUAUGGGAGGAAGCACGAAGACUUCCUGGUGAAAGUGGCAGGUUGAGUACAUAGUCUAGUUUAGUUUCCUGAACCAUCCAUUAAAACUACAGAAGAAGAACUUUUGCUUGUUUGUUUCUAAAGCACAAUCUAAUAAAGACAGGGAGAAUGGGAGCAGAGAUAACAGCAGCAUUUGAGCAGCUGACAGAAGCUGACAAAAGACUAGAAAGCAGAUCUUUAGUCAGUGGUGGAGAAAGCUGAGAGCCAUCACAGCCAUUUUCACUGUGGAAUCUAUGAAUAGUUCAGGAAUUAGCACUCCAGGUGUUGAAUCUCUGGAGCUCAGGAUGAGGAGCAAUUAGAUGCCCCAGAACCCCUACCUGGCUUUACAUUUUUGGGAGACUGUGCUCCUAUCAUACAUACAACUUUGCAGAAACUGGAGAAUUAUCUGUGGAAGAGAGGAGGGUAAGUAAGUGUUGAGCAGAGUUCCUCUGGAUUGAAAGGCACUGGGCACAGUUGCAGUAGGGCACCACUCGGAAUAUCAGGAUGCAAAGUAAAAUCUGCACACAGAAAGCAGAGACC
Molecule: long non-coding RNA, 1272 nt
Organism: Fukomys damarensis (Damara mole-rat)
Lineage: Eukaryota; Metazoa; Chordata; Mammalia; Rodentia; Bathyergidae
Exons: 3
Source: RefSeq, a predicted model, not a curated record